ACGGGAGCAAUCCUGGUGGCGAGUGGCGAACGGGUGAGUAAUAUAUCGGAACGUGCCCAGUCGUGGGGGAUAACGUAGCGAAAGCUACGCUAAUACCGCAUACGAUCUAUGGAUGAAAGCGGGGGACUCGUAAGGGCCUCGCGCGAUUGGAGCGGCUGAUAUCAGAUUAGGUAGUUGGUGGGGUAAAGGCCUACCAAGCCUGCGAUCUGUAGCUGGUCUGAGAGGACGACCAGCCACACUGGAACUGAGACACGGUCCAGACUCC
This 265-nucleotide ribosomal RNA is filed under the name unidentified marine bacterioplankton. RNAcentral's name for it is "partial 16S ribosomal RNA". It matches the Rfam family "Bacterial small subunit ribosomal RNA", at positions 73 to 339 of the family's 1533-position model. The record is from RNAcentral. RNAcentral also lists the same sequence under 1 other name.